This 72-nucleotide transfer RNA is filed under the name Gemmatimonadota bacterium. RNAcentral describes it as "Gemmatimonadetes bacterium tRNA-Glu". It matches the Rfam family "tRNA". From Rfam's summary of the family: Transfer RNA (tRNA) molecules are approximately 80 nucleotides in length. The record is from RNAcentral. RNAcentral also lists the same sequence under 2 other names. Lineage: Bacteria; Pseudomonadati; Gemmatimonadota.
GGCGCUAUCGUCUAGCGGUUAGGACGCCGCCCUCUCAAGGCGGAAACACGGGUUCGAUUCCCGUUAGCGCUA